AGUGAACGCUGGCGGUGGGCCUAACACAUGCAAGUCGAACGGCAGCACAGUACUAGCUUGCUCUUCCGGGUUGCGAAUGGCGGGCGUGUGAGGUAUACAUCGGAAUCUACUUUUUCGUGGGGGUUCACGUAGGGAAACUUACGCUCAUACCGCAUACGACCUACGGGUGAAAGCAGGGGAUCUUCGGACCUUGCGCGGUUGGAUGAGCCGCUGUCGGAUUAGCUAGUUGGCGGGGUAAAGGCCCACCAAGGCGACGAUCCGUAGCUGGUCUGAGAGGAUGGUCAGCGACACUGGAAGUGAGACACGGACCAGACGACUACGGGAGGGAGCAGUGGGGAAUAGGGGACAAUAGGCGCAAGCCUGAGCCAGCCAUACGGCGUGGGAGAAGAAGGCCUUGGGGGUGUAAAGCCGUGUUGUUGGGAAAGAAAAGCAGCAGGUUGAGACCCCGCGGUACUGACGGUACCCAAAGAAGAAGCACCGGCUAACUUCGUG
RNAcentral lists this ribosomal RNA (492 nucleotides) under uncultured bacterium. Its description in RNAcentral is "partial 16S ribosomal RNA". It matches the Rfam family "Bacterial small subunit ribosomal RNA", at positions 30 to 507 of the family's 1533-position model. The record is from RNAcentral.